RNAcentral lists this ribosomal RNA (463 nucleotides) under uncultured bacterium. RNAcentral's name for it is "partial 16S ribosomal RNA". It matches the Rfam family "Bacterial small subunit ribosomal RNA", at positions 28 to 507 of the family's 1533-position model. The record is from RNAcentral.
GAUGAACGCUGACAGAAUGCUUAACACAUGCAAGUCUUUGGCGAAGCUGUGCUUGCACAGCCUAGCCAAGGCGGACGGGUGAGUAACGCGUAAGGAAAUUGCCCUGCAGUCAGGGAUAACAGACGGAAACGACUGAUAAGACCUGGUAAAGUCAGGCGGACUCAUGUCCAGCCUGAUGAAAAGAGAUGCUGCAGGAGAGCCUUGCGUCCUAUUAGCUUGUUGGUGGGGUAACGGCCCACCAAGGCGAUGAUAGGUAGCCGGCCUGAGAGGGUGGACGGCCACAAGGGGACUGAGAUACGGCCCUUACUCCUACGGGAGGCAGCAGUGGGGAAUAUUGGACAAUGGGGGCAACCCUGAUCCAGCAAUUCUGUGUGCACGAUGAAGGUUUUCGGAUUGUAAAGUGCUUUCAGCAGGGAAGAAAAAAAUGACGGUACCUGCAGAAGAAGCGACGGCUAAAUACGUG